UAUUUACAAUUUUUUUUAAAUGGAAACACAUUUCCUCUUUACGUCCAACUCAGUGCACACAAAAUAAAACUUGAUCACUGAUGUAUAAGCUUGGCUCCAAAUUAUGCAAUUUGUUCUGUAUAAGCAGUUUAAAAAUAAUAGAUUAAUGACCUAGAUUAUUGUUAAGUUAUAAAAGAUAAUAUUCUAAAUAUGUAUCAUUCC
RNAcentral lists this long non-coding RNA (201 nucleotides) under Elaeis guineensis (African oil palm). Its description in RNAcentral is "long non-coding RNA (EGUI_LNC011513)". The record is from RNAcentral. Lineage: Eukaryota; Viridiplantae; Streptophyta; Magnoliopsida; Arecales; Arecaceae.